Molecule: ribosomal RNA, 305 nt
Filed under: Muricomes intestini
Lineage: Bacteria; Bacillati; Bacillota; Clostridia; Lachnospirales; Lachnospiraceae
Description: partial 16S ribosomal RNA
Rfam family: Bacterial small subunit ribosomal RNA
Source: RNAcentral
UUUUGUGCGAGAGUUUGAUCCUGGCUCAGGAUGAACGCUGGCGGCGUGCUUAACACAUGCAAGUCGAGCGAAGCGCUUUACUUAGAAUUCUUCGGAAGGAAGAGUGGAGUGACUGAGCGGCGGACGGGUGAGUAACGCGUGGAUAACCUGCCUCAUACAGGGGGAUAACAGUCAGAAAUGGCUGCUAAUACCGCAUAAGCCCACAGUGCCGCAUGGCACAGUGGGAAAAACUUAAGGUGGUAUGAGAUGGAUCCGCGUCUGAUUAGCUGGUUGGUAAGGUAACGGCUUACCAAGGCGACGAUCAG